UCUCAUCCUCCUAUUUUGUUGAACAUAAGAUUUUCUUUACCACAUAGGUGACCUCAAGAUUGGCGGCCACAGGAUUGGCGACUGGCUGGGGGUGUGCGGCGGCGGCGGGUUGGUGGAUUCCCUGCUGUAGGGUCAAUUGUCCGAUCAUCUCCCUCAAUUCUGCCAAAGAUGCCUCAAUCGCAGCAAGUCGCGCCUCUUGGUUAUCUACCAUGGUCGAACUUUGCUUUGAUAUCAAUCUGAUAAAGGACUAUUUAGACUCCGUCAGGAGUUUUAACCAAUAUCGUUUGGCUAAGACGAAAUAAGAAAAAAUAUAG
RNAcentral lists this long non-coding RNA (314 nucleotides) under Manihot esculenta (cassava). Its description in RNAcentral is "long non-coding RNA (MESC_LNC010352)". The record is from RNAcentral. Lineage: Eukaryota; Viridiplantae; Streptophyta; Magnoliopsida; Malpighiales; Euphorbiaceae.